ACUGAACUCUCUGCUGGAGUGUGGCCCGAGUCGGGUCCACGGUGAAAAGGGCUGUGACAAGACUGACACUGUGCCGUGGAGAAUGCUAUGCCCAAGAGCCCAGCCACUGCGAAGGGAACCACCUCUUGCUAUCUUCGGGUCUGGACAAGCCUCCGGGUCUCAGUUUAACCCAGAGCACAUGUGAUGAUCCUGGCGCUCUGUCACCUGCCCAACACACAGGGAUGAAGACAGGACUUCUGCCUGCGGCGCCCGGGUCAUGCAGACUACGAAGGUGUGGCUCUGGGAAGGGGUACAAGACAGCAGUUUUCCCUCAAGAUGUGAAGUGAUAUCACAUCAAGGUUACCAGAAUGGACUCUGGUGUCAGAUGGCCUGUGUUUGGAUCCCCCCUCCCCGCCGAUUCCACUACAGAACUAGAGAAAACAAUCCAAAAAUUCAUUUGGAAGCAGAAGAAA
Long non-coding RNA from Heterocephalus glaber (naked mole-rat), 452 nucleotides. The record is from Ensembl. Lineage: Eukaryota; Metazoa; Chordata; Mammalia; Rodentia; Bathyergidae.